CCUACGGGAGGCUGCAGUAGGGAAUCUUCCACAAUGGGCGAAAGCCUGAUGGAGCAACGCCGCGUGGGUGAAGAAGGUCUUCGGAUCGUAAAACACUGUUGUUAGAGAAGAAAGCGUGUGAGAGUAACUGUUCACGUAUCGACGGUAUCUAACCAGAAAGCCACGGCUAACUACGUGCCAGCAGCCGCGGUAAUACGUAGGUGGCAAGCGUUAACCGGAAUUAGUGGGCGUAAAGGGAACGCAGGCGGUCUGUUAAGUCUGAUGUGAAAGCCUUCGGCUUAACCGGAGUAGUGCAUUGGAAACUGGGAGACUUGAGUGCAGAAGAGGAGAGUGGAACUCCAUGUGUAGCGGUGAAAUGCGUAGAUAUAUGGAAGAACACCAGUGGCGAAAGCGGCUCUCUGGUCUGUAACUGACGCUGAGGUUCGAAAGCGUGGGUAGCAAACAGGAUUAGAUACCCGUGUAGUC
This 465-nucleotide ribosomal RNA is filed under the name uncultured bacterium. RNAcentral's name for it is "partial 16S ribosomal RNA". It matches the Rfam family "Bacterial small subunit ribosomal RNA", at positions 338 to 795 of the family's 1533-position model. The record is from RNAcentral.